GGUCUUUUCUGAGCCUCAAGGGGGUUUUGGUUUGUUUGUUUUUAAGAAGUUUAUGCUUCAGAAAGUGAGCAUUUGGCCAAGUAACCACCUUCUGUUUCCGUGAGAAAGGGUGGCUCAGGCUGCCGGAGCCCCCUGAUUGCAGGGACAGGGCUCAGUAUCAUGCAGAAACAACCUCUUAGGUACAAGUGUCUUGCCAUUGCAGUGCCUUCAUCACCCUGGCAGUCCAAAGCCCUGAGGCUCCUGCUGGUGCUCCCCAUGCAAGAAGCAGUGCCUUUGGACAGUGUGAACACUCACCAGCAAAGGAAGCUGGAAAAUUCGGGGUAGCCUAACUCUUGCCUUUUGGGGGAAGCUGAAGCAUCACCCUUCAGUCCUGCUUCCUGCUGCAGGCACCGCCUGCCACUCACGUGAAGCACUGGUUUGGUGACAGCCAUGGAGCUGGGACUGUAGGACAUUUACCCCUUUAGGUAAGUGGGAAAAAACAGCAGCUGCAGUGUGCAUAGUCCCAGCAUUUGGUAAAUCAAACUUUGUCUUCCUUUCUAGAAAAUGGGGUGGCUUUGAUGGAGAGAAUCAGAUGUGCCUUCAGUGCAGCCCUGCUCUGGACAGCUGGUGGUUUGCAGAAGGGCAGAGGUGACAGCAGCAGAGGAGGGGACAGGCUCACAGGUCAGCACUCAGCAAGAAGAUCUGGUACAAGGCACCACCGACCAAGUCUUAAUUUUACCUGCCUUAAAACUGUUGUUAACAUCAGAAUGGCUUUUUUUGCCAACAGUUUAAAUGAUGACUGGGCACAGACCUUAAUCCUGCAACCUGGAAUAGGCAAAAUCCCACAUAAGGAAGGGGUGAGUAAGAUUUUUCUGACCAGA
This 860-nucleotide long non-coding RNA is filed under the name Ficedula albicollis (Collared flycatcher). RNAcentral's name for it is "lncRNA (ENSFALG00000023617.1)". Lineage: Eukaryota; Metazoa; Chordata; Aves; Passeriformes; Muscicapidae. The record is from RNAcentral.